GCUCCAUCAAUUACAAAAUAAGAUCAGAUCUCAUUCCCCCUGAAUUGGAGGCUGUUUGCUUGGAAAUUACUAAACCACAAAGUAAACCAUUUAUUGUCACUACAAUUUAUCGACCACCAAAUGCAAAUGCAGAAUUUUUUGACCAUUUGGAAAAACUUAUUAAACAAAUCGAUGAUGAAAAUAAAGAAAUGUACAUCUUAGGUGACUUAAAUUGCAACUUGUUAGAAGAGAAAGCUCUUUUCAAUAUGCCAACAAACAAACUAAACUCAUUAUAUGAAUUAUACCAAUC
Non-coding RNA from Paramuricea clavata, 289 nucleotides. The record is from the annotation of a GenBank genome assembly. Lineage: Eukaryota; Metazoa; Cnidaria; Anthozoa; Malacalcyonacea; Plexauridae.